GACGGAGGGUGCUAGCGUUGUUCGGAAUCACUGGGCGUAAAGGGCGCGUAGGCGGCCUUGCAAGUCGGUUGGUGAAAGCCCGGGGCUCAACCCCGGAGGUGCGGCCGAGACUGCAGGGCUGGAGGCCGGAAGAGGAGGGUGGAAUACCCAGUGUAGAGGUGAAAUUCGUAGAUAUCGGGAGGAACACCAGUGGCGAAGGCGGCGACCUGGACGGACACUGACGCUGAGACGCGAAAGCGUGGGGAGCAAACAGG
Molecule: ribosomal RNA, 254 nt
Filed under: uncultured bacterium
Lineage: Bacteria
Description: partial 16S ribosomal RNA
Rfam family: Bacterial small subunit ribosomal RNA
Source: RNAcentral